RNAcentral lists this ribosomal RNA (253 nucleotides) under uncultured bacterium. RNAcentral's name for it is "partial 16S ribosomal RNA". It matches the Rfam family "Bacterial small subunit ribosomal RNA", at positions 524 to 776 of the family's 1533-position model. The record is from RNAcentral.
UACGGGGGGGGUAAGCGUUGUUCGGAAUUACUGGGCGUAAAGGGCUCGUAGGCGGCCAACUAAGUCAUACGUGAAAUCCCUCAGCUUAACUGGGGAACUGCACGGGAAACUGGAGGGCUUGAGUUCGGGAGAGGGAAGCGGAAUUCCGGGUGUAGCGGUGAAAUGCGUAGAUAUCCGGAGGAACACCGGUGGCGAAGGCGGCUUCCUGGACCGACACUGACGCUGAGGCGCGAAAGCUAGGGGAGCAAACGGG